Molecule: long non-coding RNA, 930 nt
Filed under: Capra hircus (goat)
Lineage: Eukaryota; Metazoa; Chordata; Mammalia; Artiodactyla; Bovidae
Description: lncRNA (ENSCHIG00010031322.1)
Source: RNAcentral
GACUCCUUAGCUGUCUCGUACAGGACAGCCCUGGCCACCAGCAGGGCAGCCGGGAGACUGUGCCGGGCCCGCACAGGAAGUCCCUGGUGGAGGCCAGAUCUCCAGUCUGUGCCCUGUUAGCUGUCCCACUGCCCACUCGAUUUCGUGCACACUUGGAAGCCUGAAGACCUCAAUCCGGGCCCACACUCUACGACCGUCUCGCUCUGGGUGACUCAAGAACACCACUCCUCGCUGGCCUCUCAUCUAAGCUGGGCCCAUAGUUCACCAGUCAGGCCCUUCACUCUCAGCCACCUUCGCUGCACACAGUUAAAAAGUUUCUUUCUGGUCUCCACACAGGCUCCUGUAAGGCCGGACCCCGCGGGCCAUGAUGGGCCGCCCCUCCUCUCCCUCCUGNNNNNNNGGGAAGUCCCUAUCGGAAGGAGCCUCGCAGAUCCCAGGACCGAUGACAGCACACUUCGGCAGCUAAAGCCGCCCCACCCCAGCCACGAAGAAGGACCUGUCAGCCUGUGAUGCCUGGGCGUGGCGACCUAUCUGACCCCCAUCCAUCUAGCCUGACCAUCCCUUGCAACGAACGUAUAAAAGCCACCCCCCACACGAUCUGGGCCACGGACUUCCUUGACCUGCCUCUUUCGGGUCUGGGAACCCCGCCCGGGAGCGCUUCGCCAUUACAGAGCCUGUUAGACACUGUUUGGGUGUCCUGGUCUUUUACCUAAUAUUUACAAUGUUGUGUUAGUUUCAGUUAUACAGCUAAGUGAGUCAGUUAUACAUAUAUCCACGCUUUUCUAGAUUCUUUUUCCAUAUCGGUCAUGACAGGGUACUGAGUAGAGUUCCCUGUGCUGUACAGAAGGUCGUUAUUCCUCAUCUAUUUUAUAUAUAGUACUGUGUACAUGUCAACCUCAGUCUUCCAAUUUAUCCCUCCCCUCCUUACCC